UACGUAGGGGGCGAGCGUUGUCCGGAAUUAUUGGGCGUAAAGGGCGUGUAGGCGGUUCAGGAAGUCUUUGGCGAAAUCUCCCGGCUUAACCGGGAGCGGUCCAGAGAAACUCUUGGACUUGAGAACAGCAGAGGAGGGUGGAAUUCCCGGUGUAGUGGUGAAAUGCGUAGAUAUCGGGAGGAACACCAGUGGCGAAGGCGGCCCUCUGGGCUGUUUCUGACGCUGAGGCGCGAAAGCAUGGGUAGCGAAC
Molecule: ribosomal RNA, 250 nt
Filed under: uncultured bacterium
Lineage: Bacteria
Description: partial 16S ribosomal RNA
Rfam family: Bacterial small subunit ribosomal RNA
Source: RNAcentral